This is a long non-coding RNA of Pongo pygmaeus (Bornean orangutan), 1581 nucleotides long. RefSeq lists it as uncharacterized. The transcript has 4 exons. The record is from RefSeq and is a predicted model, not a curated record. Lineage: Eukaryota; Metazoa; Chordata; Mammalia; Primates; Hominidae.
AUUGUUUGUUUUGCUUAACUUUUGUUUUGUUGUUUUUUGUUUCUGGUUCUUGUUGUUGUUUCAGUCUUUUUCUCAUUGGGUUUGAUCAACUCUAUCCAACUAGAUCAAAUCCAAAGGAAGUUCCAAAUUAUGGAACAAGGCCUCUGAAGUGGCUAAAUUCCCAGACAAACAAUGAUGACGACAACAACAACAACAACAACAACAACAACAAAAACGGUGGUGCGGUAGCAGAGAAAUAUACUAGCAAAAGGAAAAAAAAUAGGAAAGGCUUUGAUUUUGACUACUAAUAGGCUUUAUUUACAUAGCAAGAUGGCCUUUUUGCUAAUCAGGCCAAACUGAAAGAGCAAUGGCUAUUACUUCUGAAAUAGCAGCAAUUUGUCCUAGCUGAAAUAUGGUAAUGAUAUUUAAAAAUAUAUUUUUUAAAGGGGCUCAAUGGCUAAAAGUCAGCUUAAUUAAAAGCUAACAUCCAAGAUGUGUGUGUGUGCAUAUGUGUGUGUUUGUAUUUAAAAGAUCCUCAUGCUUUUGUUUUUGCUUUUCUCCUAGGACCUUGUCUCUUUUUUUUGAGCAAAAUAUUUUUUCUUCUCAGUUUUCUUCUCAGAAUUCUGUUUCCUUCACUUAUUUGUUUCUGCUCUCUCUCCUUUCUCUUGCACCCUCUGCUGCAUGGGGAACCUAAAAUAGUUCGUAAUAGCCUGGGGUUCCUUAAAGAAAACAGAGAAGGCACCAGACUCCCUUCGGAGGAGAAACCUGUUUUUCCUUAUGGAAUCCCAAGAAUGCAAACAGACAAGGUCCUCUCAGCUCUUAAACUGCUUACUUUUUUUCACUCACGUCCGUGUGAAGAGACCACCAAACAGGAUUUGUGUGAGCACCAAGGCUAUUUAUUUCACCUGGGUGCAGGUGGGCUGAGUCUGAAAAAAGUCAGCAAAGGGAGAUAGGGUGGGGCCGUUUUAUAAGAUUUGGUCACUGAAAACUAAGCUGUGCUAUCAUAAAGCCCUGUGAACUGAAGCUAGACAACUCAAACUUCAGAAGAAAAUAACAGCAACCUAUUUACAUACAUAAGCCACUUUCCUACCUGCCUCCAAUGAUAUGAAGCAAGCCCUGUGAACUGAAGCUAGACAAUUCAAACUUCAGAAGAAAAUAACAGCAACCUAUUUACAUACAUAAGCCACUUUCCUACCUGCCUCCAAUGAUAUGAAGCAAGCCCUGUGAACUGAAGCUAGACAACUCAAACUUCAGAAGAAAAUAACAGCAACCUAUUUACGUACAUAAGCCACUUUCCUACCUGCCUCCAAUGUAAGGAUUUCAGAGUAAUGUGGCCUAUAUCAAUUUUCCAGGAUUGCUGUUUUGUUUAUUGUUGUUUUUCUCCCUUCCUCCCCCUAUUUUAUCUUUAAAGGAUAUGAAGCUUCACAACCUUCUAAAUGAGCUUUCCUAAUAACUCGGGACCUAUCUGCCUAGGAAUAACCCAUCGUACCCAUGAGAAAUUAGAGGAAAUCUGAGAUCAGAGACUCAUUUUCUUUUAACAUGUUUUCUCCAAAGAUUUUUAAAAAGGGGAGAAAUGUGAAAGAAAAAUAUCCUGCCGCCCCC